UACGUAGGGCGCAAGCGUUAUCCGGAAUUAUUGGGCGUAAAGAGCUCGUAGGCGGUUUGUCGCGUCUGCCGUGAAAGUCCGGGGCUCAACUCCGGAUCUGCGGUGGGUACGGGCAGACUAGAGUGAUGUAGGGGGACUGGAAUUCCUGGUGUAGCGGUGAAAUGCGCAGAUAUCAGGAGGAACACCGAUGGCGAAGGCAGGUCUCUGGGCAUUAACUGACGCUGAGGAGCGAAAGCAUGGGGAGCGAACAGG
Molecule: ribosomal RNA, 252 nt
Filed under: uncultured bacterium
Lineage: Bacteria
Description: partial 16S ribosomal RNA
Rfam family: Bacterial small subunit ribosomal RNA
Source: RNAcentral